This 854-nucleotide long non-coding RNA is filed under the name Strongylocentrotus purpuratus (purple sea urchin). RNAcentral's name for it is "uncharacterized LOC115923467". Lineage: Eukaryota; Metazoa; Echinodermata; Echinoidea; Camarodonta; Strongylocentrotidae. The record is from RNAcentral.
CAUGUCAGACCCUGUUUAUUAUCAAGGUAUAUUCUAUUUUUUGAGUAAACCUAUUUUCUAUUUUUGAGUAAGCUUAUAUUACUUUAAAUUGUUGAACCCCUAUUUAAAGUGUACCUUUAAACUAUGUUUCUAUUAAGAUCACCUCUCUGGUAUAUGCUACUGGUGAAACAAAGAGAUGGGAACAAAAAGACCCCUAUUCUAUAGGCCUUGUUUAUGUCUUAAACCCAGACCACUUCCUUUAUUCGUAGAGUACAUAAAUCAUGAAUGACCAGUGGAUACAUUUACUGGUACCCCUUUGUCUUGAGGAUAGGGAAUAGUGGGGUUGUUUGCCUGGUUUGGAAGAAAGAUUGGCUUUCUCGUUGAGAGCAAGUUUAGACUUCAAGGCAGAUAGACGUGUGAUGUAACUUCCCCCAGAAGUUACUAUGUCGCAGCUUUUUAAGACCUGCCUUGAUUUUGUUUCUUAACAGAGUUCCACCAUGGUUCCACCAUGGUUCCACUUCCAUUUCCCUCGGGACAAGAGUUGGGACUGCUGUCGUUGUUCAGGCAACGCUCUCCGCCUGAUCGAUGUAUUUAGUGCUUACUGACGAACGACUUGUGUUUUAUCAUUUGUACUUCAUAUGAACAUCUAUUCUUUUCUUCUAUUCCCUAAUAUGUUUCUACUGUACAGUGUAGUUUACUUUGCUCUUUUGCUAUCAUUCUUGUAAUAAACAUUGUAAAGCUUUGCAUGUAGCUGUUUUUGUAAUAUUGUUGUUUGAAAUCGGAAAUGCCAGUUGUCACACUCGGAAUUUAUUAUCGGUGUACCUUUGACACUGAAUAUUAAUAAAUACCUCUUUGGAAUUAUCAUUGGCACAAAA